This 256-nucleotide ribosomal RNA is filed under the name uncultured bacterium. Its description in RNAcentral is "partial 16S ribosomal RNA". It matches the Rfam family "Bacterial small subunit ribosomal RNA", at positions 524 to 776 of the family's 1533-position model. The record is from RNAcentral.
UACAGAGACCUCAAGCGUUAUCCGGAAUCAUUGGGCGUAAAGCGUUCCGAUAGGUUGUGUAUUUAGUCUUGGGUAAAAGCCAGAAGCUCAACUUCUGAGUUUGCUUAAGAUACUGAUACACUAGAGGGGCAAAGAGGUGCUUGGAACGAACGGUGUAGUAGUGAAAUGCGUAGAUAUCUGGAGGAACACCGGUGGCGAAGGCGGCAUCCUGGACCGGUAUUGACGCUGAGGCGCGAAAGCUAGGGGAGCAAACGGG